AAGGUUUUAAGUUAAUCCAAACUAAUAGCCUUCAAAGCUAUAAAUAAAAAUAAAUUUUUAAACCUUA
Molecule: transfer RNA, 67 nt
Filed under: Conanalus pieli
Lineage: Eukaryota; Metazoa; Arthropoda; Insecta; Orthoptera; Tettigoniidae
Description: tRNA-Trp
Source: RNAcentral